AGCUCGAACAAGGCUGAUGUGUCUUUGAACUUGGGGAUUGCAGUAAUUUCCCCUGGCCACUUAUCCCACAUCCAUUCAUUGCCACAAAUAGCUGCGAAACCUGACGUGGCAGCGGCAUCCGUCCAUAAUGACACUGACUUAUCUGACCAUACCGGGAUAAAAAUGCUUUUCCCAUUCCAAUUUAGCAAAAAUUCUCUCCACAUAUGUAGGUCAGCGGUGGCAUGUAUGUCUAACGUAAUGCGGGUGGUAUCAGAGUGAAACAGGGGAAAUAGCCUAAGCAAACGGGAUAUGAACGCUCUCCC
This is a non-coding RNA of Pelobates cultripes (western spadefoot toad), 302 nucleotides long. NCBI's taxonomy places the organism in Eukaryota, Metazoa, Chordata, Amphibia, Anura, Pelobatidae. The record is from the annotation of a GenBank genome assembly.